This 252-nucleotide ribosomal RNA is filed under the name uncultured Bacteroidales bacterium. Its description in RNAcentral is "partial 16S ribosomal RNA". It matches the Rfam family "Bacterial small subunit ribosomal RNA", at positions 524 to 776 of the family's 1533-position model. The record is from RNAcentral. Lineage: Bacteria; Pseudomonadati; Bacteroidota; Bacteroidia; Bacteroidales.
UACGGAGGAUGCGAGCGUUAUCCGGAAUGAUUGGGCGUAAAGGGUGCGCAGGCGGAUUUUUAAGUCAGCGGUAAAAUUGCGGGGCUCAACCCCGUCGAGCCGUUGAAACUGGCAGACUUGAGUUGGAGAGAAGUAUGCGGAAUGCGCGGUGUAGCGGUGAAAUGCAUAGAUAUCGCGCAGAACUCCGAUUGCGAAGGCAGCAUGCCGGCUCCACACUGACGCUGAGGCACGAAAGCGUGGGUAUCGAACAGG